RNAcentral lists this ribosomal RNA (467 nucleotides) under uncultured bacterium. Its description in RNAcentral is "partial 16S ribosomal RNA". It matches the Rfam family "Bacterial small subunit ribosomal RNA", at positions 29 to 507 of the family's 1533-position model. The record is from RNAcentral.
ACGAACGCUGGCGGCGUGCUUAACACAUGCAAGGCGAACGGAAAGGCCCUGCUUUUGUGGGGUGCUCGUGUGGCGAACGGGGGAGUAACACGUGAGUAACCUGCCCUUGACUUUGGGAUAACUUCAGGAAACUGGGGCUAAUACCGGCUAGGAGCUCCUGCUGCAUGGUGGGGGUUGGAAAGUUUCGGCGGUUGGGGAUGGACUCGCGGCUUAUCAGCUUGUUGGUGGGGUAGUGGCUUACCAAGGCUUUGCCGGGUAGCCGGCCUGAGAGGGUGACCGGCCACAUUGGGACUGGGAUACGGCCCAGACUCCUACGGGAGGCAGCAGUGGGGAAUAUUGCACUAUGGGCGGAAGCCUGAUGCAGCAACGCCGCGUGCGGGAUGACGGCCUUCGGGUUGUAAACCGCUUUCGCCUGUGACGAAGCGUGAGUGACGGUAAUGGGUAAAGAAGCACCGGCUAACUACGUG